AUCCUUAAUUCUAGAUCGCUCACGGAACCUCUUCUGCGGUUGACUUCGGUCCGCUCAACCACAGCUCCCACGCUCCUGCCUGCGUCGAUUCCUCCCGUCCGGCGACCGGCUACUCAAGCGCAGCUUCAUCCCCGACCCCCCCUUCGACCCUCCUACCAUGGCAUCUCAGCCCCCGUCCGAUCUCCCACACCAGAAACGGUGGAGGUAAGGUAACGACCCCCAUCUCACCUUGUACACCCCAGCCCACAGCCGCACGCCCUCCAGCAUCUAUUCACCAGACCUAGAUGCACACACGCGCGGCAGGCCUAGCGAUUGCGGCGACACCGGCGGGAAGCAGUCAAGCUGAGCAGAAGAGCAGCGGCUAGAGGAGCACGCGCUUGCGGCAGCGACCGGCGGACAUGCGUCCAGGCGAGCAGUGGCCAGCGGCGACCUGCUGGCAGGGCAUGCAACGGCAAGAUGGGACAGGCGCGAUGGUGCCCGGCGUUGCGCCGUUGCUGCGAUGGCGGACACCAAGGCCAUGUGCCCUGCUUUCCAUGCCGCCAACAAUGGCGUCAUGUUCGCUGCCAAAGUUGCCUUCCUCAUCCCCGCAGGUUCACCACCUACGCGAUAUUUGGUGUCAUCAGUUGACACGGAGCUGAGGUGCUCUAGGAGGGCACAACUCAUCCCUGGUCUCUACUGGUGCCAAGGUCAUGGGAAACCUCUCCCCUGAGCUUCGAUGUCUCCCGUCCCCUGGCGAGAGAAGUGCCGCCUUAUUAUCCAGAGUAGGUAAAGCUUGCUCCUUCCGUUGUGUGAAUCCUGUCAAGAUCCAGCUGUUCUUAUUCAGAAGCACGCCCUGAGGUGAGUUGAAUUGCUUGUUCUAUUUAAAAUUUGGGAGAUGGAUUUGAGUUCUUAGGUGUUAUAUGGUCCCAAACUAUGAAUCGUUGGAUUAGCUAGAUGUAUUCUUGUUUGUGUAUUAGAAAGUUAAAUUUCUGCAAGUGUGUAUAUAUCCCAAGUCUGGCCUAUUCAACAAGAUGAGUCCUUGGUAUUGUGAAGAAAUUUGGGGUAUUUGGUAAUUUGUACCAUAAAAUUGAUGCUUUAGUUCAGUCAGUGUUGUGAUUCAUUAAUUUUUAUAUACAAAGGAAAAAAUAUAAUUUUUUCCAGGGACUGUUGUUUGCGGGCUGAAAUUGUUGGUAUUGCUGAACAGUUAAAAUGAGAAUAAUACUACUCCCUCUGAUCGAUAUUACUUGAUUCUAAAAUGGAUGUAUCUACAACUAAAAUAUGUCUAGAUGCAUCCAUUUUAGCAUCAAGUAAUAUGGAUCGGAAGGCAGUACUACUAAACCUUUCAGGCAGUUACUUCCAGCGAAAAUGGAGGAUGAUGUGUGCUUCACCACAUCGUAAAUCCUUUACCUCACAUAGAAAUUGCGUAAAUUAGUAGUGCAUUUUUGUUUUUCAUUAUACUAAAUGCAUAGCUGAGCCUUAUCUCAUUUCUUAUGAAAGCUUGAAGAGAAAAUCCAUGGUAAGGAACUUGGAUAAACAGAUUUUUAGGAUUAACCUAACACAAUAAUUGCUUUUAAAAUAUUUAUGUGUAACUCUCGGAUUACAUAUUUUAUUAUACGAAUUAACUCAUUACUUACGAGAGCCAGGAGACAGAAAUUAAACAUAUUAGGAAGAGCAUGAUAUUUAAGGCAUCUUCUGAAAGCUGAGUUGAAAAAUAUACUAAUGUCGGUUUACUUUAUCCUACUGAGGUUUCGAUUUCUUCGAUGUAUAUAGUUUGUAUGAUUCAUGUGUAUGAUUCAUGUCCAUCUAUUUUUUCUAUUAAAAGCAAUAUUCACAUAUGGUUCAGUAAGAAAUGCUCACGUAUAAUGUAAGUUCUGGUGUGUUCUGUGACUUGUGAGUGUUGUCAUCAUAGGACAAAGUAUUAACAGUUUCUUUCAGCCUUGCAUUCCAGGAAUUUUGUCACAAUAAUACAUUUUUUGCAAUUCUAAGGUUAAUAAGGUGAAUACAUGAACGACUGUCAAGAAAUCUUGCAUACCUACCCACUAGCUAUACGUUACAAGGAUGAUACCAUUUUUUUUUUGUUUUUUCUUGAGUUCUCUACUUUAUGGUUCCUGGGAUAUGAGAAAUUGUGUUGAGUUGAAUUGAUUCUUCUAUUUAUAAUUUGGUAGAUGGAUUUGAGUUCUUAGGUGUUAUGUUUGAGAAUCAUUGGAUUACGUAGCUGUAUAUUCAGUUUGUGUAUCAGGAUGUUAAUUUUUUUCAAAUUUUCCUACUCAGCAAGAUGAGUCCUUGCUUGUGAAGGUUGGUGUCGUGCAGACAUAGCUUAUAUUUUUUCAAUUCAUUCCCUAUAACAGUUGUGAUGUUCUGGAUUACUACAUUCUUAUUAAACUUUUUUACUUCACUGGAUUUCAUAUCUAAACUUAUAUCUAUCGUGUCCCAGAUUUGGAAUUAAAUCAUGAAAUUAUCUUUGCAUUGUUUUUUUUUUUGGAAAGUUAAGUGUCCCCUGCUAGGAUAACCAUAUGAGGUGAUGCAUGAUUUUUUAUCUCUUGUAUUUAAUUAUUCUAAUCUACUUAAUGGAGUAGGUUUUCUGGUAGCAUUAUUGGCGUCUUCACGCUUCCUUUUGUGCCAAAUAAUUGUGAGUAGUUGCCUAUGAUAUAAUAUAAGCUUAUAUGUGUGCUUAAAUCUUAUGAAGUAAACUUGCCACUGGUUUGAUGUGUAUCAUGCGAUUUUUACUUGUCAUAUCUAAUUUAUUCACUUUUCAAUUUGUUUAAUUUUACCUCAUUGCUCCUGUUUUAGGCCCUUCGUACUUAACCUGACAAGAGCGGUAAGAAAUUAUCUAGAAAAUGGCUGGUCGGUACUUGGCGGGCAGCAGCAGAAGAGCGUAGAAUGUGAAGGCCAGGAGCAAGUGCUGGCAAGAAAACAUAGUACUUGUGAGUUCUCUUCGGUCUGCUUAUGCAUGUUUUUAAGACUGAUGGCCAGAUCAGUGCAAUUUUAAGGAGAUGAAUGUAGUCCUGCGUUGAUGGUUCCGAUGAGGCCAGUUAGCAAAUCGGAAGGCUGGGAUAAAGCCAUCAGAUAUGAUAGAGGAUGCAUUAUAUCCUGCUUCAAGGUCUGAAAGAAGAGCUGACAAGGAAUCUUGGUGUAAGCAGUCAUCUUUUGGACUAUUUCCUUGUUGUUUCUUCGUAAAUUUCGUGAAAUAUCAUGUCGAGCUUGUAUCAUUAUAGCCGACUACCUAAUUUUGUUUGUUCUAUAUAAUUCCAUGUGACAUUUCGUACUUGCUAAAAGAAAAAAUUGCAAGCCUAAGAUAGGAGAUAGUAAUAAAUUAGAUUUAUUACUUUA
Long non-coding RNA from Lolium rigidum, 3309 nucleotides. RefSeq lists it as uncharacterized. The record is from RefSeq and is a predicted model, not a curated record. The transcript has 4 exons. NCBI's taxonomy places the organism in Eukaryota, Viridiplantae, Streptophyta, Magnoliopsida, Poales, Poaceae.